GCCUGGGUGGCUCAGUGGUUGAGCACCUGCCUUGGACUCAGGUCAUGAUCCCAGGUUGUGGGAUCAAAUCCCACAUUGGGCU
Molecule: transfer RNA, 82 nt
Filed under: Canis lupus familiaris (dog)
Lineage: Eukaryota; Metazoa; Chordata; Mammalia; Carnivora; Canidae
Also listed under: 1 other name
Rfam family: tRNA
About the family: Transfer RNA (tRNA) molecules are approximately 80 nucleotides in length. Their secondary structure includes four short double-helical elements and three loops (D, anti-codon, and T loops).
Source: Rfam by way of RNAcentral